RNAcentral lists this ribosomal RNA (253 nucleotides) under uncultured bacterium. RNAcentral describes it as "partial 16S ribosomal RNA". It matches the Rfam family "Bacterial small subunit ribosomal RNA", at positions 524 to 776 of the family's 1533-position model. The record is from RNAcentral.
UACAUGGGGUGCAAACGUUGCUCGGAAUUAUUGGGCGUAAAGCGCACGUAGGCGGUUUGUUAAGUCGGAUGUGAAAUCCCUCGGCUCAACUGAGGAAGUGCAUCCGAAACUGGCAAGCUUGAGUACGAAAGAGGGUCGCGGAAUUCCCGGUGUAGAGGUGAAAUUCGUAGAUAUCGGGAGGAACACCGGUGGCGAAGGCGGCGACCUGGGUCGAUACUGACGCUGAGGCGCGAAAGCGUGGGGAGCAAACAGG